GUAGCUGAAAUAACUGCAGUCAGUCAGGUGAAUGAGUUCAUCUUGACAUCUUUAUUCCUGCCCUGCUGCACAUUUGCCAUUUUGUUAAAGAGUAAAUACAUCUUAAAUAGUUAAAACAGUUGAUAUUUUCACAAUCAAACUUCCAAACCCACAUCCUCUCUCACAUGUUCACACUAUAGUUUUACAAGGGAGAAGCAAGCCCUUUUUGGUUUCAGUCCUUGGGCAAAACCCCCCAAUGUCCAUGUUUUUGUCCCCAAAAGUCUCCCCUCCAGACAUGAUUACCGAUGGCCUGCUGGUCUUGUAUUCCGCAAUGACAACUGAUGUCCAGUUUCUAAGCAUUUACCUUUAGAUGUGUGCCCAUAACUGCCAGUCAGUCAAAGCACAGAGUAUAGACAGACAAGGGACAUUGUGUGAGAUGUAGAAUAUAACAGCCAACUAUAGUUCAGACAACUGUACAGUUCACAUCUAACACCAGAGGUCCACUUGAUAAACAAAUCAGACCUGCCAUGUAACUUGUUUAACAUUACACAGUAGAUCACUAUGGGGACAAAGAUCUACAUUUGUUUAAGAUUGGCUAUUUAUUUUUCAAGGUACAGAGUAUCUUUACUUUAUGGUUAUGGAGUGCCCUAUACUAAUACAACACAAAUAAUAUUUUGUUAAAAACACGUUUUUUUUCAUCACAGUUAAGACCCCAAAAUCAUCAACAAUAAAUUGAGAAUAAAACACAGAGAAGAUCAACACCGUCCCUGAAUCCCUCAGAGCUCCAGAAUAUAAUCUGUGGUCCACACAACACAGUAGAGGUGUUCCACCCAGACAGAGCCAGAAGAGAUAUAGUGGCUGUUGUCAGAGGUAAUGGUCAAGCCUGUGUGCAGCGUCUUCAUCAACAGACCCCUUCAUCCCCUGGGUCCAACAUAUGAAGGGUAGCAACCCAGGAAAGGUGAGAUGAUCUUGGGGAGUAUUGUCUGACUGCAGGGCCCUCAUGGUGGAGGGAGCAGCUCCUGGAAAACCACAUACAAGAGCACGUACUGUACGUAUACUAAGAAACACCACUCACAUGUAUGAUAGCAGCAAAAAGUCUGAAAUUAAGCAUUUCUAGCGACAGAAUAAAGUGAUUAUUUUCCAAUGUUAAGGCCUAUCUUCUAGACAAGAGGUCAAGGAGUUGGCUUUGACUGAAGUCUAAUGAGGCAUCACAAUGUACUACAGUAUAUGGGUCACUGUGGCUGAACUGUGGGGGUACGUACCUUAAAAAACAGGAGGGGGAAAUAAAAAGCCAGCGGCUCUUACGCGGUAAAAAAAAAAACAACCACUUAUUGAAUUCAGAUUGCCAUAAUUAAACAAUCUUAGUUUGGACUAACACACACAAAAACCAUUAGCUAAUCAGACAGGGCACGCUGUACAGAAUCUCAUCUGGUUGGACUGUUUCAGAGUUUGUUUUUCCUCAUGUCUGUUAGUCAAGGGAAAGAUAAACAAAUCCCAGAAGG
RNAcentral lists this long non-coding RNA (1481 nucleotides) under Salmo salar (Atlantic salmon). Its description in RNAcentral is "lncRNA (ENSSSAG00000090283.1)". The record is from RNAcentral. Lineage: Eukaryota; Metazoa; Chordata; Actinopteri; Salmoniformes; Salmonidae.